UACGUAGGGGGCAAGCGUUGUCCGGAAUCAUUGGGCGUAAAGCGCGUGUAGGCGGCUCGAUAAGUCUGCUGUGAAAGUCCAGGCUCAACCCUGGGAUGCCGGUGGAUACUGUCGAGCUCGAGUCCGGAAGAGGAGUGUGGAAUUCCUGGUGUAGCGGUGAAAUGCGCAGAUAUCAGGAGGAACACCGGUGGCGAAGGCGGGUCUCUGGGCAGUAACUGACGUGAGGAGCGAAAGCGUGGG
RNAcentral lists this ribosomal RNA (240 nucleotides) under uncultured bacterium. RNAcentral describes it as "partial 16S ribosomal RNA". It matches the Rfam family "Bacterial small subunit ribosomal RNA", at positions 524 to 765 of the family's 1533-position model. The record is from RNAcentral.